AAAUAUCUUCAAGGUGACAGUAUAUGAGAAGGCUGAGAAUUAUGAACAUUUUUAACAGAUAGCAGGAGAGGGAGCAUUCGCUUACAGGUAGUGAGGAAGGAAAAUAUCUGCAGCCAGGGGGAAAUUCUUGGCAGGGAAGGGGUAGAGAAGCUCAUUGCUAGAGGAACCUUGGGCCUUUUUCCUGCCACUCAGCUGAUGCAAAGGAUGAUGGUGGGCAAUGGGGCCAGGUCCCUUUGAAUGGCCACGCCAUGGCUUAGAGUUAUAACCCAGGUACAGAUUUAUAACCCGAGGUACAGAAGGACAGCAGGCCCCAACCAGCCCAAGCCCACAUAGCGUUGCCUUCAGCUUCCAAUGAAAGGUCGCCAAUACAAGUGCCCACUAAGUUUGGUUUAUCUCCUCCACAUGCAAGAGCAAAACCCACCUCCAGCCAUCUCCACAGCAUGAAGAAACUGAAGGUACUGGGCACCGAAGCUUUUCCAGCUUACAGCUGCAACACAACAGCCUUCAGCAGCAGCACAACAGCCUCUGGGCCCGCUUCAAAUCUAUGAUUUUCUUCACAAUUUUCCACAGCAAUGCUUCACGCUGUCUGGUUAUGUCUGCGUCCCCAUCAUCCUGCGUACAUCUGGGCAGGAGGGAAGGGCUUGGGCAAUGCUUCCAACUGCCCUCGGCUUCGCAAGCAGCUUCGAGACUGCUUCUUUCACUACGGCUUCAAUGUUUCUCUCCUGUUUGAGAGUCUCAGCACAUGAUGCUCUACUUUGGCUAAUUAAUUUUUAAAGAAGCUUUGUAUAUUAAUGCAAAUUCUAUUAGUGAUGCCUCUUGGCAGCCCGUGUAUUAAAUGUGAUGCCAGUAGCAUGACAACACUUGACAGUCUCCACAGUGGUAAAUCACAUAUAUUAUUUCAUGCCCCUUUUAAUGCUUUUAAGACACAUCCUUAAAAUAAGUCAGGACUGUUAGCAUGCUUCUCCUAAAGCACAAAAAUAUUCCUUCUUAAUUUAGCAAAGCGUAUGUUCCUAUUAGAGCUAUAGAUGCCAGAUAAAGACUGGCACACACCAUGUGUGGUGUGAAAUGGCGAAGAUGCGUUGCCUUCAGCGGGAUUGCAGAGACCGGUAUCAACAGAGACUCUGACUCGCUAUUCCUUUGCGACUGUAACUUGAUAUUCCAAGUUGGGUGAUCAUCACCGGGGGUUAAUCACAACAUCUAAUAGCAAGCCCCUCUACGCUACAAACUGUUUUUGUGAUAUGGGUUCAAAAAUCUCUGCUCGCGUACCAGCCACUAAAGAGGGACAAAGGGAGAUGCUGUGCAAGUGAGAACCACUGCUCGGGAGAGUUCAUAGCACGAAGCUCAGUGCCUGCACUGGCUGCCUCGGAUUCCACCACUUCAUGUUAAAGGAGAAAGAUCUGCUGACAAGUUGUAUCCCACAGUUAAUAAAUUGUGCUGACUGCUCGUCAUCCAGCAGACCUUGGACACAGGAAGGGCACCGGGCAAGAUUCACGCAUAGAUGAUCAGAAGCAGGAGGUGUUACAAAGGAACAGGAAAACUAAACAGGGUCAGAGCACAGAUGAAUUGAACAUCUCAGGGCCGCGUUUGUGGGGUCAGCAGGGCUGAAAGCCUGGGAUGGGGCAAGCAGCAAGAGGAGAAAGGAAAAACAGGGGGAACAGGAGCAGCUUUGGAAUGGACGUGGACACAGCUGGCCCCACAGGAUAAGAUGUGAAGGACCCUUUAAGCAGUGGGAAUGUGUUAGACCCCAGAACAGAAACAGAGGCUGACAAUCACCACAUAGCC
This is a long non-coding RNA of Oxyura jamaicensis (ruddy duck), 1782 nucleotides long. RefSeq lists it as uncharacterized. The record is from RefSeq and is a predicted model, not a curated record. Lineage: Eukaryota; Metazoa; Chordata; Aves; Anseriformes; Anatidae. The transcript has 2 exons.